Molecule: ribosomal RNA, 253 nt
Filed under: uncultured bacterium
Lineage: Bacteria
Description: partial 16S ribosomal RNA
Rfam family: Bacterial small subunit ribosomal RNA
Source: RNAcentral
UACGGAGGGUGCGAGCGUUAUCCGGAUUUACUGGGUUUAAAGGGUGCGUAGGCGGGUAGGUAAGUCAGUGGUGAAAUCUCCGAGCUUAACUUGGAAACUGCCAUUGAUACUAUUUAUCUUGAAUGUUGUGGAGGUAAAUGGAAUAUGUCAUGUAGCGGUGAAAUGCUUAGAUAUGACAUGGAACACCAAUUGCGAAGGCAGUUUGCUAUACAACUAUUGACGCUGAGGCACUAAAGCGUGGGGAUCAAACAGG